RNAcentral lists this ribosomal RNA (533 nucleotides) under uncultured bacterium. RNAcentral describes it as "bacterial SSU rRNA". It matches the Rfam family "Bacterial small subunit ribosomal RNA", at positions 19 to 518 of the family's 1533-position model. The record is from RNAcentral.
CUGGCUCAGGACGAACGCUGGCGGCGUGCCUAAUACAUGCAAGUCGAACGGUCUUUCUAUGGAAGCUUGCUUCCACUGAGAAGAUAGUAGGCGAACGGGUGAGUAACACGUGGGGUAACCCUGCCCAUAAGAGGGGGGAUAACAUCCGGAAACGGGUGCUAAUACCGCAUAGUUUUCUUGAUCGCAUGAUCGGGAAAGGAAAGACGGCCUUUGUGCUGUCGCUUAUGGAUGGACCCGCGGCGUAUUAGUUAGUUGGUGAGGUAACGGCUCACCAAGACGAUGAUACGUAGCCGACCUGAGAGGGUGAUCGGCCACAUUGGGACUGAGACACGGCCCAAACUCCUACGGGAGGCAGCAGUAGGGAAUCUUCCGCAAUGGACGAAAGUCUGACGGAGCAACGCCGCGUGAGUGAAGAAAAGGGUUUUCGGAUCGUAAAACUCUGUUGUCAGAGAAGUAACAAGUUGGAGAGUAACUGCUCCAGCCUUGACGGUAUCUGACCAGAAAGCCACGGCUAACUACGUGCCAGCCGCUGC